Molecule: long non-coding RNA, 675 nt
Organism: Fundulus heteroclitus (mummichog)
Lineage: Eukaryota; Metazoa; Chordata; Actinopteri; Cyprinodontiformes; Fundulidae
Exons: 4
Source: RefSeq, a predicted model, not a curated record
CCAGUCCGCAGACUGAUGAGAAGAAACUGCUGAUUGCUAUCAGUGGACUGUCUCGUCAGCUUACUCAACAUACUGCCGACAUGAAUGAGAGGUUCACUCAACUGCAGAAUUCGGUAAACUCCAGGUUGCUGUCCAUAGAGGACAAGAUGGCGGCUCUGCAGUCGAAGAACUGUGCGGGAGAGACUAACUCCAAGAAGAGAAGACGGGUGCACAAAAGCUUGCGGUAAGAAUAUAUUUGACUGCUAGCUAAGCUAAAAGUAGCCUAGCCAUAACCCAAAGCUAAGGGUGUAUUUUUUGUGAUUUACAGUACGCCGUCUUCACAACUCGGAGACAAAUUGCAGGCGCUAUGAACCGGCGCAAGGACUAAGCACGCCUCAUAAUGAGGCAGUUACCUCCUAUCUGCUCGGAGCAAUAACUGCAAGCCUCGAUUUACACUAUAUUGAUAAAGACGACAUUGUGUCCGCUUGUAAGACGUAUUACGAGACGGUACGCAGGAGCUUCAGAUAUACGCAGCCAGAGAACUCAAUGCGGGCGGAAGCUGCCAAGAAUUCAGCUCGGAGUCGAGCGAGAAGAAAGAGGCUGCAGGAAUCGAGGCAGAGCGUGCUAGCUGAUGAGGAAGUGGAACUCUGGAUGUCCGCCACCGUCGACCUCAUGUCUGACGAGGAAGAUGGCGUC